UGAGUAACACGUAUCCAACCUGCCGUCUACUCUUGGCCAGCCUUCUGAAAGGAAGAUUAAUCCAGGAUGGCAUCAUGAGUUCACAUGUCCGCAUGAUUAAAGGUAUUCCGGUAGACGAUGGGGAUGCGUUCCAUUAGAUAGUAGGCGGGGUAACGGCCCACCUAGUCAACGAUGGAUAGGGGUUCUGAGAGGAAGGUCCCCCACAUUGGAACUGAGACACGGUCCAA
Molecule: ribosomal RNA, 227 nt
Filed under: uncultured bacterium
Lineage: Bacteria
Description: partial 16S ribosomal RNA
Rfam family: Bacterial small subunit ribosomal RNA
Source: RNAcentral